CCCUGCCGCGGGACGCAGAUAGACCCUUCUCCAACACUGAGGGAGCUGGAAAUUUAACUCCUUAGCAAAGGUAAAAGCUUGACCAUCUGAUAUAAUUGGAAUUCAUCCACGAUUCAGAUAAGUGGAAUAGCGAUGUUUUAAUUAAUACAAAAAAACUACGUACUUCCGCUUUAACCUACAACUAGUCUCGCGAGGCUAAACCUCUCGUCAGGCCUGGUUUAAGAGGCUCCCUAACCGAAAACGAGUAGAAAAAGUAAGAAAAUUAUAAUUUCGUUUGCCUGUUUAUUGUAGAAUAAGGAUUAGCCACUCUAUACACUGACCCGCCAAUUUCUGUAAAUUCUCCUUAUCUUGAAAUAACAGAAAAACGGAGAACUAGCGCUGAACUGGUUCGCCGUCACCCUGUUUACCUUGGAAUAAUUGAACGAAUCCUACACUGAAAGAUCGUUGAGGCACGCGAAGAAUGGGAGACGGCACUUGGGAAAGAAAUCUGCUUACGUUGCAGAUGGAGGACAAACCCAGCCUGCUACUCUCCUUCCACACUGAGCCUAAAGAAGAGUCACUAGAUUCUUAUUGGGACAGUGGAGCUCAGUGUUCAUUGGUGGAUUCAGAAAUGAAAUCAGAGAAGCUAGAAAACUGCAGUCAAACACUGGGGCCAAAUGACAUUAAAUAUGAAGAGAAGAUUGGGGAUUUAACUAAUCAAGGUAAGUUCAUGAAGAGGGUUUUGUCCCAACCAACAUUUGUAUGUGGUUUAAGGGUCCAUUGCAGUGUUGGGUUCCGUCUUCUGUUCUAUCCACCAUCUCUGAUCACUUGAAACUGAGUAGACAAAGCUUUUGGUACUUGGAGUUCAUAGAGUAAUUUGUUUUAACAAGGUUCCCAGGGAAGUAAAACAGCCUCACAACAUAACAGGUCCACCACUAUACAAAGCCCUCCAAUAAUUUUGGGACUCGUGGUAUAAAUGUGCAAAACGGGCUGUGAACCUUUAUUUUUUUAAUUAUUUUUGUCAUUUAUUUGAAAUAUGAAAAGGUAAAUUAUUGCGAUAAAUGUCAAAUAAUUGAAAUAUAAAUUUUUGACAUCUGUGCCACAAUUAUUGGCAUCCCUAGAAAUACCUAUGAGUAAUAUCUAUCUGAUGAGCCAAA
Long non-coding RNA from Esox lucius (northern pike), 1136 nucleotides. The record is from Ensembl. NCBI's taxonomy places the organism in Eukaryota, Metazoa, Chordata, Actinopteri, Esociformes, Esocidae.